Molecule: non-coding RNA, 542 nt
Organism: Podarcis lilfordi (Lilford's wall lizard)
Lineage: Eukaryota; Metazoa; Chordata; Lepidosauria; Squamata; Lacertidae
Source: the annotation of a GenBank genome assembly
UGAGGCAUCUGAUCAAAAUCUGCUUUGAGCUUAAAAAAUUAUAUUUGUAAAUAUAUUUUUCUCUCAUGCAAGGGAGAAGAGCAGCUGAAUACUCUGGCAGCUGUUCAAGGGCCCCACUGCUAUAAAUAAAAGUAUUUCAAGGUUGUAAAAGGAAAUUAGAGCCAGAGAGCAAAAGGUCACACUGACCAGAAUACAAUCAAGCUGUAAAAACACAAUUAAGAACUGGUAAAUAGUGAAAUUUAUUGUUUAACAGAAGACUCGAGCCAUAAGGUUAAAGGUUAAAUGGAAGAGGUUGCUCUUAGAAACAGCUGCUGGUUAGGGAAAAAGGCCUCUCUCCAAACUGUUUUGAAGCUUCAGAGAAUUUACUAAGUUCCUUCUAAUUUGAAAAGGCCUUUCCUUCUAAAAAUCUAUCUAUGUUAUGUAUGAAAUAUAUUGGCUUAAAUGUGAUUAUGCAAAGGAUUUAGAAAGUAAGAAAUGUUAGAUUCUUAUGUUAGAUUCCUAUUAUGGUGGGUGAGAAGGUGAACUCAAGAUCUCUUUAAGAU